AUGGGCGGUGGCGGUCUCCAUGCUGCGGGGUCGGCUCGAAGUUCCUGCAGUGGGCAUGGUGGUCUUCCUAGGCGACGACGUCGGCAGGGCCGCCGGGGCAUGGGUCGGAGCGGAGGACCUCGAGCGUCCAUGGCGGCCUCCCUGCAACAGAGAGCAAGAGAGAUAGAGGGAGAUGAGAGUAAACUGGGAAAAGAGAAUAAGGGAAGAGGGAGAUGGCGGGGAAAGGAAUGCAGGGGGACGACGGGGGCCCGCUCGGUGGCUUCGGUCAUCGGCGGAAGAAGGAGCUCAGGGACUAGGUGGUUGUGCUCGGGAGCAGCAGAUCGAGCAGGAGAAAGGAGGGGAUAG
Molecule: ribosomal RNA, 345 nt
Filed under: Triticum aestivum (bread wheat)
Lineage: Eukaryota; Viridiplantae; Streptophyta; Magnoliopsida; Poales; Poaceae
Description: partial small subunit ribosomal RNA
Source: RNAcentral